Molecule: ribosomal RNA, 1672 nt
Filed under: Escherichia coli
Lineage: Bacteria; Pseudomonadati; Pseudomonadota; Gammaproteobacteria; Enterobacterales; Enterobacteriaceae
Description: partial 23S ribosomal RNA
Rfam family: Bacterial large subunit ribosomal RNA
Source: RNAcentral
CGAAUGCUGACAUAAGUAACGAUAAAGCGGGUGAAAAGCCCGCUCGCCGGAAGACCAAGGGUUCCUGUCCAACGUUAAUCGGGGCAGGGUGAGUCGACCCCUAAGGCGAGGCCGAAAGGCGUAGUCGAUGGGAAACAGGUUAAUAUUCCUGUACUUGGUGUUACUGCGAAGGGGGGACGGAGAAGGCUAUGUUGGCCGGGCGACGGUUGUCCCGGUUUAAGCGUGUAGGCUGGUUUUCCAGGCAAAUCCGGAAAAUCAAGGCUGAGGCGUGAUGACGAGGCACUACGGUGCUGAAGCAACAAAUGCCCUGCUUCCAGGAAAAGCCUCUAAGCAUCAGGUAACAUCAAAUCGUACCCCAAACCGACACAGGUGGUCAGGUAGAGAAUACCAAGGCGCUUGAGAGAACUCGGGUGAAGGAACUAGGCAAAAUGGUGCCGUAACUUCGGGAGAAGGCACGCUGAUAUGUAGGUGAGGUCCCUCGCGGAUGGAGCUGAAAUCAGUCGAAGAUACCAGCUGGCUGCAACUGUUUAUUAAAAACACAGCACUGUGCAAACACGAAAGUGGACGUAUACGGUGUGACGCCUGCCCGGUGCCGGAAGGUUAAUUGAUGGGGUUAGCGCAAGCGAAGCUCUUGAUCGAAGCCCCGGUAAACGGCGGCCGUAACUAUAACGGUCCUAAGGUAGCGAAAUUCCUUGUCGGGUAAGUUCCGACCUGCACGAAUGGCGUAAUGAUGGCCAGGCUGUCUCCACCCGAGACUCAGUGAAAUUGAACUCGCUGUGAAGAUGCAGUGUACCCGCGGCAAGACGGAAAGACCCCGUGAACCUUUACUAUAGCUUGACACUGAACAUUGAGCCUUGAUGUGUAGGAUAGGUGGGAGGCUUAGAAGUGUGGACGCCAGUCUGCAUGGAGCCGACCUUGAAAUACCACCCUUUAAUGUUUGAUGUUCUAACGUUGACCCGUAAUCCGGGUUGCGGACAGUGUCUGGUGGGUAGUUUGACUGGGGCGGUCUCCUCCUAAAGAGUAACGGAGGAGCACGAAGGUUGGCUAAUCCUGGUCGGACAUCAGGAGGUUAGUGCAAUGGCAUAAGCCAGCUUGACUGCGAGCGUGACGGCGCGAGCAGGUGCGAAAGCAGGUCAUAGUGAUCCGGUGGUUCUGAAUGGAAGGGCCAUCGCUCAACGGAUAAAAGGUACUCCGGGGAUAACAGGCUGAUACCGCCCAAGAGUUCAUAUCGACGGCGGUGUUUGGCACCUCGAUGUCGGCUCAUCACAUCCUGGGGCUGAAGUAGGUCCCAAGGGUAUGGCUGUUCGCCAUUUAAAGUGGUACGCGAGCUGGGUUUAGAACGUCGUGAGACAGUUCGGUCCCUAUCUGCCGUGGGCGCUGGAGAACUGAGGGGGGCUGCUCCUAGUACGAGAGGACCGGAGUGGACGCAUCACUGGUGUUCGGGUUGUCAUGCCAAUGGCACUGCCCGGUAGCUAAAUGCGGAAGAGAUAAGUGCUGAAAGCAUCUAAGCACGAAACUUGCCCCGAGAUGAGUUCUCCCUGACUCCUUGAGAGUCCUGAAGGAACGUUGAAGACGACGACGUUGAUAGGCCGGGUGUGUAAGCGCAGCGAUGCGUUGAGCUAACCGGUACUAAUGAACCGUGAGGCUUAACCUUACAACGCCGAAGGUGUUU